This 442-nucleotide ribosomal RNA is filed under the name uncultured bacterium. Its description in RNAcentral is "partial 16S ribosomal RNA". It matches the Rfam family "Bacterial small subunit ribosomal RNA", at positions 338 to 795 of the family's 1533-position model. The record is from RNAcentral.
CCUACGGGAGGCAGCAGUGGGGAAUAUUGGGCAAUGGACGCAAGUCUGACCCAGCAACGCCGCGUGAAGGAAGAAGGCUUUCGGGUCGUAAACUUCUUUUAAGGGGGAAGAGCAGAAGACGGUAUCCCUUGAAUAAGCCACGGCUAACUACGUGCCAGCAGCCGCGGUAACACGUGGGUGGCAAGCGUUGUCCGGAUUUACUGGGUGUAAAGGGCGUGCAGCCGGGGAGACAAGUCAGAUGUGAAAUACACGGGCUCAACCCGUGAACUGCAUUUGAAACUGUUUCCCUUGAGUGUCAGAGAGGUAAUCGGAAUUCCUUGUGUAGCGGUGAAAUGCGUAGAUAUAAGGAAGAACACCAGUGGCGAAGGCGGAUUACUGGACGAUAACUGACGGUGAGGCGCGAAAGCGUGGGGAGCAAACAGGAUUAGAUACCCUUGUAGUC